Molecule: transfer RNA, 38 nt
Filed under: Cervus elaphus xanthopygus (Manchurian Wapiti)
Lineage: Eukaryota; Metazoa; Chordata; Mammalia; Artiodactyla; Cervidae
Description: partial tRNA-Leu
Source: RNAcentral
UCUUAGGAACCAAAAAAUUGGUGCAACUCCAAAUAAAA